CAGCAGCCGCGGUAAUACGAAGGGUGCAAGCGUUACUCGGAAUUACUGGGCGUAAAGCGUGCGUAGGUGGUUGUUUAAGUCUGCUGUGAAAGCCCUGGGCUCAACCUGGGAAUUGCAGUGGAUACUGGGCGACUAGAGUAAGGUAGAGGAUAGUGGAAUUUCCGGUGUAGCAGUGAAAUGCGUAGAGAUCGGAAGGAACAUCUGUGGCGAAGGCGACUAUCUGGGCCAUUACUGACACUGAGGCACGAAAGCGUGGGGAGCAAACAGGAUUAGAUACCCCGGUAGUCCCUGUCUCUAUACA
Molecule: ribosomal RNA, 301 nt
Filed under: uncultured bacterium
Lineage: Bacteria
Description: partial 16S ribosomal RNA
Rfam family: Bacterial small subunit ribosomal RNA
Source: RNAcentral